ACACAUGCAAGUCGACGGUAGCACAGAGAGCUUGCUCUCGGGUGACGAGUGGCGGACGGGUGAGUAAUGUCUGGGAAACUGCCCGAUGGAGGGGGAUAACUACUGGAAACGGUAGCUAAUACCGCAUAACGUCGCAAGACCAAAGUGGGGGACCUUCAGGCCUCACACCAUCGGAUGUGCCCAGAUGGGAUUAGCUAGUUGGUGGGGUAAUGGCUCACCAAGGCGACGAUCCCUAGCUGGUCUGAGAGGAUGACCAGCCACACUGGAACUGAGACACGGUCCAGACUCCUACGGGAGGCAGCAGUGGGGAAUAUUGCACAAUGGGCGCAAGCCUGAUGCAGCCAUGCCGCGUGUAUGAAGAAGGCCUUCGGGUUGUAAAGUACUUUCAGCGAGGAGGAAGGCAUUAAGGUUAAUAACCUUAGUGAUUGACGUUACUCGCAGAAGAAGCACCGGCUAACUCCGUGCCAGCAGCCGCGGUAAUACAGAGGGUGCAAGCGUUAAUCGGAAUUACUGGGCGUAAAGCGCACGCAGGCGGUUUGUUAAGUCAGAUGUGAAAUCCCCGGGCUCAACCUGGGGACUGCAUUUGAAACUGGCAAGCUUGAGUCUCGUAGAGGGGGGUAGAAUUCCAGGUGUAGCGGUGAAAUGCGUAGAGAUCUGGAGGAAUACCGGUGGCGAAAGCGGCCCCCUGGACAAAGACUGACGCUCACGUGCGAAAGCGUGGGGAGCAAACAGGAUUAGAUGCCCUGGUAGUCCACGCCGUAACGAUGUCGACUUGGAGGUUGUGCCCUUGAGGCGUGCUUCCGGGAGCUAACGGCGUUAAGUCGACCGCCUGGGGAGUACGGCG
This 844-nucleotide ribosomal RNA is filed under the name uncultured bacterium. RNAcentral describes it as "bacterial SSU rRNA". It matches the Rfam family "Bacterial small subunit ribosomal RNA", at positions 51 to 887 of the family's 1533-position model. The record is from RNAcentral.